GUUGUACUUUCUGUUGUUGUCUCAGUUGUGAUGCUUUCAGCUGUUGUUGAAGUUUCUGCUGUUGUACUUGCUAAAGUUGUGGUACCAGUGGUGGUGCUUUCUGUUGUUGUAGUAUCGAUUGUGGUGCUGUCUGUUGUCAUUCUUGUCUCUGUUGUUGUACUUUCUGGUGUUGUGGUACUGGAGGUUGUACUUUCGGUUGUUGUCUCAGUUGUGAUGCUUUCAGUUGUUGUUGAAGUUUCUGCUGUUGUACUUUCUAAAGUUGUGGUACCGGUGGUGGUGCUUUCUGUUGUUGUAGUAUCGAUUGUGGUGCUGUCUGUUGUUAUUGUUGUCUCUGCAUUUGUACUUUCUGGUGUUGUGGUACCGGAGGUUGUACUUUCUGUUGUUGUCUCAGUUGUGGUGCUGUCUGUUGUUAUUGAAAUUUCUGCUGUUGUACUUUCUAAAGUUGUGGUACCGGUGGUGGUGCUUUGUGUUGUUGUAGAAUCCAUUGUGGUGCUGUCUGUUGUUAUUGUUGUCUCUGCUGUUGUACUUUCUGGUGUUGUGGUACCGGAGGUUGUACUUUCUGUUGUGGUGCCUGUGGUUGUACUUUCUGUUGUUGUCUCAGUUGUGGUGCUUUCAGUUGUUAUUGAAAUUUCUGCUGUUGUACUUUCUAAAGUUGUGGUACCGGUGGUGGUGCUUUGUGUUGUUGUAGAUUCCAUUGUGGUGCUGUCUGUUGUUAUUGUUGUCUCUGCUGUUGUACUUUCUGGUGUUGUGGUACCGGAGGUUGUACUUUCUGUUGUGGUGCCUGUGGUUGUACUUUCUGUUGUUGUCUCAAUUGUGGUGCUUUCAGUUGUUGUUGAAGUUUCUGCUGUUGUACUUUCUGGUAUAGUGGUACCAGAGGUUGUACUUUCUGUUGUUGUCUCAGUUGUGAUGCUGUCUGUUGUUAUUGUUGUUUCUGCUGUUGUACUUUCUGGUGUUGUGGUACCGGAGGUUGUACUUUCUGUUGUUGUCUCAGUUGUGGUGCUUUCAGUUGUUGUUGAAGUUUCUGCUGUUGUACUUUCUAAAGUUGUGGUACCGGUG
Cyprinus carpio carpio is the source of this 1056-nucleotide long non-coding RNA. NCBI's taxonomy places the organism in Eukaryota, Metazoa, Chordata, Actinopteri, Cypriniformes, Cyprinidae. The record is from Ensembl.